UGCCCCGUAGUGGAGAACACGCUGGAUUGCAAAUCCAGAAACGCAGGCAAACAGUUUGCCGGGGCUU
This 67-nucleotide transfer RNA is filed under the name Elopichthys bambusa (yellowcheek carp). RNAcentral's name for it is "tRNA-Cys". It matches the Rfam family "tRNA". Rfam says of the family: Transfer RNA (tRNA) molecules are approximately 80 nucleotides in length. Lineage: Eukaryota; Metazoa; Chordata; Actinopteri; Cypriniformes; Xenocyprididae. The record is from RNAcentral.